AGAGCGGCGUACGGGUGCGGAACACGUGUGCACUGCCUUUAUCUGGGGGAUAGCCUUUCGAAAGGAAGAUUAAUACCCCAUAAUAUGUUGAAUGGCAUCAUUCGACAUUGAAAACUCCGGUGGAUAGAGAUGGGCACGCGCAAGAUUAGAUAGUUGGUGAGGUAACGGCUCACCAAGCCUACGAUCUUUAGGGGGCCUGAGAGGGUGAUCCCCCACACUGGUACUGAGACACGGACCAGACUCCUACGGGAGGCAGCAGUGAGGAAUAUUGGACAAUGGGUGAGAGCCUGAUCCAGCCAUCCCGCGUGAAGGACGACUGCCUAUGGGUUGUAAACUUCUUUUGUAUAGGGAUAAACCUACCCUCGUGAGGGUAGCUGAAGGUACUAUACGAAUAAGCACCGGCUAACUCCGUGCCAGCAGCCGCGGUAAUACGUAGGGUGCAAGCGUUAAUCGGAAUUACUGGGCGUAAAGCGUGCGCAGGCGGUUUCGCAAGUCAGAUGUGAAAGCCCCGGGCUUAACCUGGGAACUGCAUUUGAAACUACAAGGCUAAGUGUGUCAGAGGGGGGUAGAUUUCCACGUGUAGCAGUGAAUGCGUAAAAG
RNAcentral lists this ribosomal RNA (600 nucleotides) under uncultured bacterium. Its description in RNAcentral is "bacterial SSU rRNA". It matches the Rfam family "Bacterial small subunit ribosomal RNA", at positions 92 to 696 of the family's 1533-position model. The record is from RNAcentral.